This 4345-nucleotide small RNA is filed under the name Pongo abelii (Sumatran orangutan). RNAcentral's name for it is "processed transcript". The record is from RNAcentral. Lineage: Eukaryota; Metazoa; Chordata; Mammalia; Primates; Hominidae.
GUCCCCUUUCCAGGACUUUGAGCUUCACCAUCUUCUUGAUCCUGUUUUUGGCUUUUAUCGAGACCCCAUCCUCGCUCACCAGCACGGCGGACGUGCGCUACCGCGCUGCCUCCUGGGAGCCGCCCUGUGGCCUGACCGAGAGUGUCGAGGUGCUCUGCCUGCUGGUCUUUGCGGCUGACCUCUCUGUGAAGGGUUACCUGUUUGGGUGGGCCCAUUUCCAGAAAAACCUUUGGCUGCUGGGCUACCUCGUGGUGCUGGUGGUGUCUCUGGUGGACUGGACCGUGUCCCUGAGUCUUGUGUGUCAUGAGCCCCUGCGGAUCCGCCGGCUCCUCCGCCCCUUCUUCCUGCUGCAGAACUCCUCUAUGAUGAAGAAGACCUUGAAAUGCAUCCGCUGGUCGCUGCCGGAAAUGGCCAGCGUCGGGCUGCUGCUGGCCAUCCACCUGUGCCUCUUCACCAUGUUCGGGAUGUUGCUGUUCGCCGGUGGGAAGCAGGAUGAUGAGCAGGACAGGGAGAGGCUGACCUACUUCCAGAACCUGCCUGAGUCUCUGACUUCCCUCCUGGUGCUGCUGACCACGGCCAACAACCCCGAUGUGAUGAUUCCUGCGUAUUCCAAGAACCGGGCCUAUGCCAUCUUCUUCAUAGUCUUCACUGUGAUAGGAAGCCUGUUUCUGAUGAACCUGCUGACAGCCAUCAUCUACAGUCAGUUCCGGGGCUACCUGAUGAAAUCUCUCCAGACCUCGCUGUUUCGGAGGCGGCUGGGAACCCGGGCUGCCUUUGAAGUCCUGUCCUCCAUGGUGGGGGAGGGAGGAGCCUUCCCUCAGGCCACCCGCCGAGGCCCGAGUACCAGUCUCCGUUUCUGCAGAGCGCCCAGUUCCUCUUUGGCCACUACUACUUUGACUACCUGGGGAACCUCAUCGCCCUGGCAAACCUGGUGUCCAUUUGCGUGUUCCUGGUGCUGUAUGCAGAUGUGCUGCCUGCUGAGCGUGAUGACUUCGUCCUGGGGAUUCUCAACUGCGUCUUCAUUGUCUACUACCUGUUGGAGAUGCUGCUCAAGGUCUUUGCCCUGGGCCUGCGAGGGUACCUGUCCUACCCUAGCAACGUGUUUGACGGGCUCCUCACCAUUGUCCUGCUGGAGGCCAGAGAUGCUGGGCCUGCUGUCGCUGUGGGACAUGACCCGCAUGCUGAACAUGCUCAUCGUGUUCCGCUUCCUGCGCAUCAUCCCCAACAUGAAGCCGAUGGCCGUGGUGGCCAGUACCGUCCUGGGCCUGGUGCAGAACAUGCGUGCGUUUGGCGGGAUGCUGGUGCCUGGCCCCUGCCAAUGGCUCGGCACCCUGUGGGAGCUUCGAGCAGCUGGAGUACUGGGCCAACAACUUCGAUGACUUUGCGGCUGCCCUGGUCACUCUGUGGAACUUGAUGGUGGUGAACAACUGGCAGGUGCUCCUGGAUGCGUAUCGGCGCUACUCGGGCCCGUGGUCCAAGAUCUAUUUUGUAUUGUGGUGGCUGGUGUCGUCUGUCAUCUGGGUCAACCUGUUUCUGGCCUUGAUUCUGGAGAACUUCCUUCACAAGUGGGACCCCCGCAGCCACCUGCAGCCCCUUGCUGGGACCCCGGAGGCCACCUACCAGAUGACCGUGGAGCUCCUGUUCAGGGAUAUUCUGGAAGAGCCCGGGGAGGACGAGCUCACGGAGAGGCUGAGCCAGCACCCGCACCUGCGGCUGUGCAGGUGACGUCCGGGCUGCCGUCCCAGCGGGGGCGGCGGGAGAGAGAGGCUGGCCUACACAGGUGCCUGUCAUGGAAGAGGCGGCCAUGCUGUGGCCAGCCAGGCAGGAAGAGACCUUUCCUCUGAUGGACCACUAAGCUGGGGACAGGAACCAAGUCUUUUGCGUGCGGCCCAACAACCAUCUACAGAACAGCUGCUGGUGCUUCAGGGAGGUGCCGUGCCCUCUGCGUUCUUUUAUAGCUGCUUCAGUGAGAAUUCCCUCGCCGACUCCACGGGGACCUUUCAGACAAAAAAGCAAGAAGCAGCGGCUCCCCCUGUCCCCUGCAGCUUCCGUGGUGCCUUUGCUGCCGGCGGCCCUUGGGGACCACAGGCCUGACCAGGGCCUGCACAGGUUAAACGUCAGACUUCAGGGGCAUUCAGGUGGGGAUGCUGGGGGUUUGACAUGGAGAGAACCUGGACUGUGUUUUAUGAUUUCGUGGCUUGUAUGAGUGUGACUGGGUGUGUUUCUUUAGGGGUCUGAUUGCCGGUUAUUUUCAUCAAUAAGUCUUGCAAAGAAUGGGAUUGUCAUUCUUCACUUCAGCACAGUUCUAGUCCUGCUUCUCUGGAGUAGGGUUGUUGAGUAAGGUUGCUUGGGUUGUGCACUGCACAAGGGCACAUGGCUGUGAGGCAUAUCCUGGCGGGGGGCUGUCUGCCUGCAGUGAGGGGCACCUUUUCUGUUUUGCUCAAAGGCAUGUAUAAGCCAAUGGUGGCCUUAUUUCCUGUGUCCUCAAGGUGUGUGGCAGGGGGUCUGGGGUGGGGAGGCAGGGCAAGCGAGCAGUGUGUGGAAAGCCUCGUUGUCACUUGAUCCGUGCCAAGUCCGGAUCAGGUGCCAACCCACGCCCCCUUUCUGCUGAGGUUUGGGUGCCAUCUAGUGGUGGGUUGGGAUUUGGUUGACUACUUUUAAGGCAAGGUGGACCCAGCAACUCCCAGAAACAACUCCGGGGACACCGCUCCCCGUCACAUUCCACACUGAGCCUGGUGCCCGGUCUGUGCCCGAGCUCAGCGGGAACAGGAAGGGAUGGGCCCUGCCAGGGUUGCCCCUGCACUGUGCAUCCUCGCCUGGGAGGCACAAGUUCUUUCAUCUGCUUUUCCUUCAGAGGUGCUGAGCCCACGCCAUAGCCCCUGUGGGAUGGUGGGGCAGGGGGCGACCCGAACAACAGUGUGGUCGGUAUUGAGAUUAGGGAGAGGAGCAAGUCCAAGGAGAAGGUCAUGAGUUUCUUUUUACUCACGUCGAAUAAUAACAACAAUGACAAUAUGGAAACCACCGCAAACUUGGAGAAAAGUUGCAAGUACAGUAAAGAGAAGCUUCCUUCUGAGUCACUUGAGUGGUUGCCGUUCUGGCCCUGCACCCUCUGUGCUUUGGGACGGCGUCCAACCCGCAUUCGCGUCAGGAGUGAGUCGCACGUGGCUUUGUGGUCAUGGCGACUUAAUCCGCCUGGACGGUGGCUCUGUCUCCCUGGGCUUAGACGACCUUGGCACCUCUGGAGAUAAGCCCGUGGCUCCCAGGUUGUGUUCAUGUGAUGUUUCCUCGUGGUAGGUUCUGGGUCUGCGUUUUGUCUAGGAGUGUCACAGGAUGGACACUGCCUCCUGGCAGGGGCUGCCCAAAUGCAGUUAGCCUCCUGCUGGUGUUCUCUCUUGUUGCUUGGUGAAGGUAGCCCCGGUCAGCUUCUCCACUGCCCAGUAAACGACCCUUUUGUAAUGAAUGAGUGGGGAGGUAGUGUGAAGCGAUGUCAAUAUCCCAUCCCUGUCAAACUGCCUUUACUUUUUCCUUCCUUCCUUGCUCCCACCUGUGUGCAUCUUGGUCCCUUCUUGUAUUCAGGGCUGUGGUCUGUUAUGGUGUUUACUCUCAGGCUCAGGUCCUGCUUGUUUGGCCCGUGGGAGGCCCUUCUUCUGCCUUUGUGUUUUUUUGUUAUGUACCUACAGUUCUUUAGCUGUUUCUUUACUUUCUGGUGCAAAAAGAUGUUCAAGCCUUAUUUUAUAUCUGCCUGCCCCUUUCUCUUUCAUUUAUUGGAGUGAGCCAUGGCUCUAAGGAGCCCUGUUCCUUUGAAUGGAGAGUAGCAUCAGGAACCAGGAUGUGGGUGCGAGGGGUGCUCCUGGCUGUUGUGGAUUGCUGCGCCCGGGAGCUCUUAGUGGACAGAGCUAGAGGAUAUGUGCACAUACUUCCAUCUCACUCUCUCUCAUCUAUUCACAGCUGGGAAUGACACUAAUACCUCCGAUUUCAGCCCAGCACCACAGGGUACGUUCCAGCUUUCUCUCUUUCCAUAGUUGUAAGGCCCUUUCGGGGAAUGGUUCUCAUUCUCCUUAAUCUACUAUUGGGUCAGUUUUCCUGCAUGUCACCAGCCUCCCAUCACUGCCACCCACUCCCCACAGAGAGGCCCUGCUCAUCUGACUGGGGCUUUGACUCCUCCCACACUGUGUGCCUCUCUUGUGUGGAUGCCCUCCUGCCAAAACCUCCAGCAAACAGCUUUCCAAAUGGAAGUUGUCACUGUCAGGGCCUUUACAAUCAGGAACAGCAAAAUCUACGUGCUGCUGAGGGUCCUGGCUUGUUAAAAUGCAAUAAAUAUGCAAGUACAUAAAAACAGCAAUAG